GUGACUGCGUACCUUUUGUAUAAUGGGUCAGCGACUUAUAUUCUGUAGCAAGGUUAACCGAAUAGGGGAGCCGAAGGGAAACCGAGUCUUAACUGGGCGUUAAGUUGCAGGGUAUAGACCCGAAACCCGGUGAUCUAGCCAUGGGCAGGUUGAAGGUUGGGUAACACUAACUGGAGGACCGAACCGACUAAUGUUGAAAAAUUAGCGGAUGACUUGUGGCUGGGGGUGAAAGGCCAAUCAAACCGGGAGAUAGCUGGUUCUCCCCGAAAGCUAUUUAGGUAGCGCCUCGUGAACUCAUCUCCGGGGGUAGAGCACUGUUUCGGCAAGGGGGUCAUCCCGACUUACCAACCCGAUGCAAACUGCGAAUACCGGAGAAUGUUAUCACGGGAGACACACGGCGGGUGCUAACGUCCGUCGUGAAGAGGGAAACAACCCAGACCGCCAGCUAAGGUCCCAAAGUCAUGGUUAAGUGGGAAACGAUGUGGGAAGGCCCAGACAGCCAGGAUGUUGGCUUAGAAGCAGCCAUCAUUUAAAGAAAGCGUAAUAGCUCACUGGUCGAGUCGGCCUGCGCGGAAGAUGUAACGGGGCUAAACCAUGCACCGAAGCUGCGGCAGCGACGCU
This 621-nucleotide ribosomal RNA is filed under the name Escherichia coli. RNAcentral's name for it is "partial 23S ribosomal RNA". It matches the Rfam family "Bacterial large subunit ribosomal RNA", at positions 593 to 1215 of the family's 2925-position model. Lineage: Bacteria; Pseudomonadati; Pseudomonadota; Gammaproteobacteria; Enterobacterales; Enterobacteriaceae. The record is from RNAcentral.